GACGAACGCUGGCGGCGUGCCUAAUACAUGCAAGUAGAACGCACAGUUUAUACCGUAGCUUGCUACACCAUAGACUGUGAGUUGCGAACGGGUGAGUAACGCGUAGGUAACCUGCCUGGUAGCGGGGGAUAACUAUUGGAAACGAUAGCUAAUACCGCAUAAUAUUAAUUAUUGCAUGAUAAUUAAUUGAAAGGUGCAAUUGCACCACUACCAGAUGGACCUGCGUUGUAUUAGCUAGUAGGUGAGGUAACGGCUCACCUAGGCGACGAUACAUAGCCGACCUGAGAGGGUGAUCGGCCACACUGGGACUGAGACACGGCCCAGACUCCUGCGGGAGGCAGCAGUAGGGAAUCUUCGGCAAUGGACGAAAGUCUGACCGAGCAACGCCGCGUGAGUGAAGAAGGUUUUCGGAUCGUAAAGCUCUGUUGUAAGAGAAGAACGGGUGUGAGAGUGGAAAGUUCACACUGUGACGGUAUCUUACCAGAAAGGGACGGCUAACUACGU
RNAcentral lists this ribosomal RNA (504 nucleotides) under uncultured bacterium. RNAcentral describes it as "partial 16S ribosomal RNA". It matches the Rfam family "Bacterial small subunit ribosomal RNA", at positions 28 to 506 of the family's 1533-position model. The record is from RNAcentral.